GUAGUCCACGCCCUAAACGAUGUCAACUGGUUGUCGGGCCUUCAUUGGCUUGGUAACGUAGCUAACGCGUGAAGUUGACCGCCUGGGGAGUACGGUCGCAAGAUUAAAACUCAAAGGAAUUGACGGGGACCCGCACAAGCGGUGGAUGAUGUGGAUUAAUUCGAUGCAACGCGAAAAACCUUACCUACCCUUGACAUGUACGGAACCCUGCUGAGAGGUGGGGGUGCCCGAAAGGGAGCCGUAACACAGGUGCUGCAUGGCUGUCGUCAGCUCGUGUCGUGAGAUGUUGGGUUAAGUCCCGCAACGAGCGCAACCCUUGUCCCUAGUUGCUACGCAAGAGCACUCCAGGGAGACUGCCGGUGACAAACCGGA
This 372-nucleotide ribosomal RNA is filed under the name uncultured bacterium. Its description in RNAcentral is "bacterial SSU rRNA". It matches the Rfam family "Bacterial small subunit ribosomal RNA", at positions 790 to 1167 of the family's 1533-position model. The record is from RNAcentral.